CUAUUAGUGGGGGACAACAUUUCGAAAGGAAUGCUAAUACCGCAUACGUCCUACGGGAGAAAGCAGGGGAUCUUCGGACCUUGCGCUAAUAGAUGAGCCUAAGUCGGAUUAGCUAGUUGGUGGGGUAAAGGCCUACCAAGGCGACGAUCUGUAGCGGGUCUGAGAGGAUGAUCCGCCACACUGGGACUGAGACACGGCCCAGACUCCUACGGGAGGCAGCAGUGGGGAAUAUUGGACAAUGGGCGCAAGCCUGAUCCAGCCAUGCCGCGUGUGUGAAGAAGGCCUUAUGGUUGUAAAGCACUUUAAGCGAGGAGGAGGCUACUUUAGUUAAUACCUAGAGAUAGUGGACGUUACUCGCAGAAUAAGCACCGGCUAACUCUGUGCCAGCAGCCGCGGUAAUACAGAGGGUGCAAGCGUUAAUCGGAUUUACUGGGCGUAAAGCGCGCGUAGGCGGCUAAUUAAGUCAAAUGUGAAAUCCCCGAGCUUAACUUGGGAAUUGCAUUCGAUACUGGUUAGCUAGAGUGUGGGAGAGGAUGGUAGAAUUCCAGGUGUAGCGGUGAAAUGCGUAGAGAUCUGGAGGAAUACCGAUGGCGAAGGCAGCCAUCUGGCCUAACACUGACGCUGAGGUGCGAAAGCAUGGGGAGCAAACAGGAUUAGAUACCCUGGUAGUCCAUGCCGUAAACGAUGUCUACUAGCCGUUGGGGCCUUUGAGGCUUUAGUGGCGCAGCUAACGCGAUAAGUAGACCGCC
Molecule: ribosomal RNA, 749 nt
Filed under: Acinetobacter pittii
Lineage: Bacteria; Pseudomonadati; Pseudomonadota; Gammaproteobacteria; Moraxellales; Moraxellaceae
Description: bacterial SSU rRNA
Rfam family: Bacterial small subunit ribosomal RNA
Source: RNAcentral